This is an RNA transcript of Candoia aspera, 3252 nucleotides long. It is a transcript of the gene named heterogeneous nuclear ribonucleoprotein A3, with no coding region annotated. The record is from RefSeq and is a predicted model, not a curated record. The transcript is spliced from 13 exons. NCBI's taxonomy places the organism in Eukaryota, Metazoa, Chordata, Lepidosauria, Squamata, Candoiidae.
GAAAGUCCCUCCUCCUCCUCCCCCGUUUCCUUGCCGUUGAGCCCGCCUUCCUCUCACGUGCCCUAGUUUCCUCUGACCCGCUCCUCCCUCCUUCUUCCUCUCGACUCCAUAUUGAGGCUGAAGGAGGCAAAAUCCAGUCACAAAAUGGAGGUUAAAAGGAGCAACUGAGUCAGAACACACUCCCAAAAUGGCGUGUAAAGAGGAGAGAGAGGCUGAAGAUUACAAGAGAAGGGGAAGAAGAUCUUCACAGGGCCAUGAUCCUAAAGAACCAGAACAAUUGAGAAAGCUGUUUAUUGGUGGCUUGAGCUUUGAAACUACAGAUGAUAGCCUAAGAGAGCACUUCGAAAAAUGGGGAACGCUCACAGAUUGUGUGGUGAUGAGAGACCCACAGACAAAACGCUCUCGAGGCUUUGGUUUUGUGACCUACUCUUGUGUGGAAGAAGUGGAUGCUGCAAUGGCAGCUCGACCACAUAAAGUUGAUGGCCGUGUGGUAGAGCCAAAGAGAGCCGUUUCUAGAGAAGAUUCUGUGAAACCUGGUGCUCAUUUAACAGUGAAGAAAAUAUUUGUUGGUGGGAUUAAAGAAGACACAGAAGAAUAUAAUUUAAGAGAUUAUUUUGAAAAAUAUGGCAAAAUUGAAACCAUAGAAGUAAUGGAAGACAGGCAGAGUGGAAAGAAAAGAGGUUUUGCCUUUGUGACAUUUGAUGAUCAUGAUACAGUAGACAAAAUUGUUGUUCAGAAAUACCACACUAUAAAUGGGCAUAACUGUGAAGUGAAGAAAGCUCUCUCCAAGCAAGAAAUGCAGACUGCAACUGCACAAAGAAGUCGUGGGAGUAGUUCAAGCAACUUCAUGGGUCGUGGAAACUUUGGAGGCAGUGGUGGAAAUUACAACAGAGGUGGAAGUUUUGGUGGUAGAGGAGGCUAUGGCAGUGGAGGUGGUGGCAGCAGUAGAGGAAGCUUUGGGAGUGGCGAUGGAUAUAAUGGUUUUGGUGAUGGUGGAAACUAUGGUGGUAGCCCUGGGUAUGGUAGCCGAGGUGGUUAUGGUGGUAGCCCAAGCUAUGGAAAUCCAGGUGGUGGAUAUGGUGGAGGAGGUGGAGGCUACGAUGGUUAUAAUGAAGGAGGAAGCUUUGGAGGCAAUUAUGGUGGUAGUGGAAGCUACAACGAUUUUGGCAACUACAGUGGACAGCAGGCCUCAAGUUACGGACCCAUGAAAGGAAGUGGCAGUUUCAGUGGCAGAAGUUCAGGCAGUCCCUAUGGUGGUGGCUAUGGAUCGGGAGGAGGAAGUGGUGGCUAUGGUGGAAGAAGAUUCUAAAAACUGUAGCAGGAUGAUGAUUGUUGAAGAAACCUCUGUGACCAGAGGUGGAUAUCUUACUGGAAAACUCUUGCUUGGUAAGAGUGUAACACUGAUGUUUCUUUGACUGUAUUCUGAGGUCUGAAAAUCGAGUAUUGGAGAUGAGAACAAACAGGGUAAAUGUGAAGUGUAUUGACAUUUAUUACUGUAUUCAAAUCAGCAUGAAUGAGCAAUAAUAAAAUUAGCUAUUUGGCAUUUAGAUCUAGAUUUCUACCAUUCAUAUUAAUUCAUACAGCUGUUACAGAGAUGGGUGUCUUACUUAAUGAGACCUUCCUGGGGUGAGGUUUGACUUGGGAUUGUGCUCACUUUCUGGCCAUUGCAGUGUAUUUGGAAAAAAAUGGAUGGUGACAAUUGUCCACCAAUAAAUGAGAAGUAGGAUUUUUAAAAUUCCUUGUGUUCAGCUAAAUUCAUGGCUUGUGAAUGGCUCAAAAAGUUGCAGUGGUCUCCGGUAGAGUUCAGUCAUCCCCUUCUGGACAGUAUGCAUUGGGUAUGGAUAGGCAAUUUUCAGACUGCAUGUAGUAAUGGCAUGAAUAAAAUGGGGGGGGGAGAUUUUUUUUGUUUGAAAAAAUAAAAAGCUUGAAACAAAACGUUUUCAAUAUUUUGAGAAGGUUUCUUUUUCCCCUUAUGAAACACAGCAUACCUUUGCUUUGUCAUAGGAAAAGGUGGGUACUCCUUGAAACAAGCUUUAUUGCCCUGCUUACCUAGAACAAAAAGUUACCAUUGUUACUGUAGCAGAACAUGUAAACAAUGGAACAAAGUGCUGUAUUUUGUUACAAUUUUGGGAACUCUUCAGAACAGUGUUUGAUUGGUUUUGCUGUUUGCAUGUCCCUGGCAUUCAGCUUCUUAAUGCUGUUACCAAAAAUUGGAAGGAACCACUAUUUCGGAGAAAGAAUUUCCCAGUGAUUUGGUGAGAGAAGUGUAUGAGGCAUCACAGAUGGUUGAAGAUACCUAAAUAACUACAUCAGGCAAAGUAAGAAAAAAAACCCACAUACAAACAACCACCUGAAAAUCCUGAACUGAAUAAUUGUGUAAUGCUUCCACCCACCCCCGCUCCUAUUGCAGGGGGGAAUGGUGCAAAAUAAUAUUGCCCUGCUCUCAUCCUAAACUCAUCUGGAAAGGAUUUGUAUUUAAACAAGUGGUUUUUCAAUUAAACAAGUAGCCAAUCUAAAGUUAGCAUUGCUGGUUUUCUAUUGGUAAUGUUUUUAAUUGCCAAAUUGCAGGCAAGAAAAUCAGUAACAUUCUCACCUGGAACACAUGAUGUGCCCUCUAAAUAACUUUCAGGUAACAAAUCCUUAAAACGAGUCUUUGGUGUCUUCUAGGCAUUGGUAAAACUCAUUCCGUAAUCCUUAAUUUUGUAAUCUAGUAUUUAGAACUCGCUUGCCUUAUUCUGUAUACUAAUUCUAAAUGUGAAAGAGUGGGUUGUGGUUGCAGAUCAUCUGCAUUUACUAGCCAUCUUGCCUUUGCCAGCAUCAUAAUCUAACUCACAAGUUACAAGCUUGUGAAGAGUUUACAAUUCCUGUGCCUAUCUACAGUUGUAUCAGAUAAACAAAUUAAGAGUAAAUGGGAACUGGCUAAUUGAAACUGAAUAUUAGAGAAUAUUUAAUAGAUUGUAUCUUGCUAUUAAUCCUAGGACUCUGAGUGGCAAAGAGCACCUAUGCUCCCCUUUUGUCUUACAAAGCAGGGUUGAGGCUAAAAUGGGUACAGUAAUCUCAGCAAUCCCCAGCAAGAUGGAAAUGGGGAUGACUAAUCCUGAAGAAACAAUCGUCUGUUUCCAUAAAUUGAAAUUUUUGAUUCUUCAGUGGAACAUGCAUACAACUGAUAGCUAUGAGAGCAAAAAUUGAAGCAUGUAAUAAUCAAAUGCUUACAAUAAAACAGUUAAUCAUGAUAGUUGGUGAAUCUCCUAA